CAUUUAGGAAUCUCUCGCCGUCUUUAAAUCUCCUACUGAUCUGAAGUUCUUGCAAUGAAUUAUAAAUAUUAAUAGGACUUUUAGUAUCUAAUAUUCAGAUAGUAGUAUCACAAAUAGAGAAGUUACAAGGUGUUAUCAUAUAAUUAUCUUAACCAGCAACUGCUUGCUGCUCUCUUGUAUGGCCUGUUUGGAUCAAAAGAGGCAAGAUAUUGAG
This 214-nucleotide long non-coding RNA is filed under the name Elaeis guineensis (African oil palm). RNAcentral describes it as "long non-coding RNA (EGUI_LNC039835)". The record is from RNAcentral. Lineage: Eukaryota; Viridiplantae; Streptophyta; Magnoliopsida; Arecales; Arecaceae.